GAUGAACGCUGGCGGCGUGCCUAAUACAUGCAAGUCGAGCGAACGGACGAGAAGCUUGCUUCUCUGAUGUUAGCGGCGGACGGGUGAGUAACACGUGGAUAACCUACCUAUAAGACUGGGAUAACUUCGGGAAACCGGAGCUAAUACCGGAUAAUAUUUUGAACCGCAUGGUUCAAAAGUGAAAGACGGUCUUGCUGUCACUUAUAGAUGGAUGCGCGCUGCAUUAGCUAGUUGGUAAGGUAACGGCUUACCAAGGCAACGAUGCAUAGCCGACCUGAGAGGGUGAUCGGCCACACUGGAACUGAGACACGGUCCAGACUCCUACGGGAGGCAGCAGUAGGGAAUCUUCCGCAAUGGGCGAAAGCCUGACGGAGCAACGCCGCGUGAGUGAUGAAGGUCUUCGGAUCGUAAAACUCUGUUACUAGGGAAGAACAUAUGUGUAAGUAACUGUGCACAUCUUGACGGUACCUAAUCAGAAAGCCACGGCUAACUACGUG
This 497-nucleotide ribosomal RNA is filed under the name uncultured bacterium. RNAcentral's name for it is "partial 16S ribosomal RNA". It matches the Rfam family "Bacterial small subunit ribosomal RNA", at positions 28 to 507 of the family's 1533-position model. The record is from RNAcentral.